CCUACGGGUGGCAGCAGUGAGGAAUAUUGGUCAAUGGGCGCGAGCCUGAACCAGCCAAGUAGCGUGAAGGAUGACUGCCCUACGGGUUGUAAACUUCUUUUAUAAGGGAAUAAAGUGAGCCACGUGUGGCGUUUUGUAUGUACCUUAUGAAUAAGGAUCGGCUAACUCCGUGCCAGCAGCCGCGGUAAUACGGAGGAUCCGAGCGUUAUCCGGAUUUAUUGGGUUUAAAGGGAGCGUAGGUGGGUUGUUAAGUCAGUUGUGAAAGUUUGCGGCUCAACCGUAAAAUUGCAGUUGAAACUGGCAGUCUUGAGUACAGUAGAGGUAGGCGGAAUUCGUGGUGUAGCGGUGAAAUGCUUAGAUAUCACGAAGAACUCCGAUUGCGAAGGCAGCUUACUAGACUGCAACUGACAUUGAUGCUCGAAAGUGUGGGUAUCAAACAGGAUUAGAUACCCGUGUAGUC
Molecule: ribosomal RNA, 460 nt
Filed under: uncultured bacterium
Lineage: Bacteria
Description: partial 16S ribosomal RNA
Rfam family: Bacterial small subunit ribosomal RNA
Source: RNAcentral